CAUUGCGGCAGGCUACACAUGCAGUCGAGCGGUAGCACAGAGAGCUUGCUCUCGGGUGACGAGCGGCGGACGGGUGAGUAAUGUCUGGGAAACUGCCUGAUGGAGGGGGAUAACUACUGGAAACGGUAGCUAAUACCGCAUAACGUCGCAAGACCAAAGUGGGGGACCUUCGGGCCUCAUGCCAUCAGAUGUGCCCAGAUGGGAUUAGCUGGUAGGUGGGGUAACGGCUCACCUAGGCGACGAUCCCUAGCUGGUCUGAGAGGAUGACCAGCCACACUGGAACUGAGACACGGUCCAGACUCCUACGGGAGGCAGCAGUGGGGAAUAUUGCACAAUGGGCGCAAGCCUGAUGCAGCCAUGCCGCGUGUGUGAAGAAGGCCUUCGGGUUGUAAAGCACUUUCAGCGGGGAGGAAGGCGGUGAGGUUAAUAACCUCAUCGAUUGACGUUACCCGCAGAAGAAGCACCGGCUAACUCCGUGCCAGCAGCCGCGGUAAUACGGAGGGUGCAAGCGUUAAUCGGAAUUACUGGGCGUAAAGCGCACGCAGGCGGUCUGUCAAGUCGGAUGUGAAAUCCCCGGGCUCAACCUGGGAACUGCAUUCGAAACUGGCAGGCUAGAGUCUUGUAGAGGGGGGUAGAAUUCCAGGUGUAGCGGUGAAAUGCGUAGAGAUCUGGAGGAAUACCGGUGGCGAAGGCGGCCCCCUGGACAAAGACUGACGCUCAGGUGCGAAAGCGUGGGGAGCAAACAGGAUUAGAUACCCUGGUAGUCCACGCUGUAAACGAUGUCGAUUUGGAGGUUGUGCCCUUGAGGCGUGGCUUCCGGAGCUAACGCGUUAAAUCGACCGCCUGGGGAGUACGGCCGCAAGGUUAAAACUCAAAUGAAUUGACGGGGGCCCGCACAAGCGGUGGAGCAUGUGGUUUAAUUCGAUGCAACGCGAAGAACCUUACCUGGUCUUGACAUCCACAGAACUUUCCAGAGAUGGAUUGGUGCCUUCGGGAACUGUGAGACAGGUGCUGCAUGGCUGUCGUCAGCUCGUGUUGUGAAAUGUUGGGUUAAGUCCCGCAACGAGCGCAACCCUUAUCCUUUGUUGCCAGCGGUCCGGCCGGGAACUCAAAGGAGACUGCCAGUGAUAAACUGGAGGAAGGUGGGGAUGACGUCAAGUCAUCAUGGCCCUUACGACCAGGGCUACACACGUGCUACAAUGGCAUAUACAAAGAGAAGCGACCUCGCGAGAGCAAGCGGACCUCAUAAAGUAUGUCGUAGUCCGGAUUGGAGUCUGCAACUCGACUCCAUGAAGUCGGAAUCGCUAGUAAUCGUAGAUCAGAAUGCUACGGUGAAUACGUUCCCGGGCCUUGUACACACCGCCCGUCACACCAUGGGAGUGGGUUGCAAAAGAAGUAGGUAGCUUAACCUUCGGGAGGGCGCUACCACCUUGGAUCCAGGG
RNAcentral lists this ribosomal RNA (1442 nucleotides) under bacterium. RNAcentral's name for it is "bacterial SSU rRNA". It matches the Rfam family "Bacterial small subunit ribosomal RNA". The record is from RNAcentral.